Hylaeus volcanicus is the source of this 2777-nucleotide long non-coding RNA. RefSeq lists it as uncharacterized. The transcript has 3 exons. Lineage: Eukaryota; Metazoa; Arthropoda; Insecta; Hymenoptera; Colletidae. The record is from RefSeq and is a predicted model, not a curated record.
AAGUAUCGAAAGAAGUAUCGAAAUGCUUAGCUUGUUGAUAGUAACGAUUAGACUGUCCAGUGAAAUCUGCGAAUCGAUGCUCUUUCAACAUUUCUGGCUGAGCAUCUGUCGUUUGCGCGAAACAACGAACCAUGACGGGCGAAUGGUUGUCGUUGCUCCAUCCUUAGGCACCUUGUAAUCGUACAUUUAGCAUUCUGACGUCAACGACGUUAUUUUUGGUCGACGAUGUUCAUUUAGCGCGGAGCCACAUCGUAAAAUCGUCCGUAAAGCUGGACGCGCGGGCUCUUAUCUCGUUUGGAAAUGGAUCGGAUGAAAAUGCAUUUCCUGAAACUUCGUUCAGGGUAAAGCGAGCUUCGACCAUUCGCAUCGAGCCUCGAAAAACGUUUCACUACCGAGCAAACAGUCUUCCUACUUUAAUCUCCCUCCCUCCCAUCCACAGUAAGUUAAAGACAUUUAUUUUGUGUAGAGUCAAUAGGUACAUUGAUGUCUAAGAUAUUAGGUCAAUCAGCUUGGGAAAUACCGUUUCGAGAAAAACAUUGUAACUAUGCCAAAGUGGACGGAGAGUCGAGCUCGAAGUUAUGUAAAACCGAUUUUUGAAAGCGUGGCAAAGGCAAAAAUUGUAUGCAAGAAAACGAAAUACGCUUUUUCUGGACCGUGUCAAAUCGAAACCUCGAAAAAGUCUGUACAAGAAGAUAAUUGAGCGCGUGCUAUGGAUGAUGCAACUUGUUACUGAUGGAUACAUUCGAUCGAUUGCGGUUAGUCAAGGAACUAAUCUACAGACUUUCGGGUCACAGAUUAUUAGAAAAGGAGACCUAAAAUUUUGUAUAAUAAUAUUCUUCUUAAAACAACAAACCUAAUAUCACUUUCCAUUAUCUAAAUGAUAAUUUAGAUUGCACUUCUGUAUCAAAUUUUGGCGCCCAAGGCAAAACGCUUUAAAUUUACCUGGCAGUAAAUGACUUAUUAAGAACCUCUGGUUCGCGUAAUCGUAGAUUCGAGACCUCGAACGAAUAAUGCCAAUUACCACGGUGAGUACCAGAGUCUAACGAAACGAUCCGCGGCUGUCGGAUUGGUAUUGAUUGAUAUUCGUAGCUGCAUAUUGAACUUGAUCUCGCAGCUAGUCACGAGUGGUCGUGGCUAACAGCGUUCGUCGUCGUCGUUGCAACUUGCAACGUCUUCUGUGCAUUCUGCUCAUUCAAGGCAACGAUCCAGCGGUGACGUAAUUUCCCUGAUAGGUUUCGUUGGAUUUAUAUGUGGCCACGUAUACGAGCCUGUCCAGAAACGUUAUAGUGUGGUCUGGAUCCGCAUUCAAGGGAAGAGCGAGUCGGUGUAAGCCGGUUUCAGAUGGAUCCGAGUCUACCAACCGAAAUAGACCAUGAGGCGAGCUCUCUCUUCGCAAAACUCUGCCAGGAAUUUGGCAUACAGAUCGAACAUCGUCGAUACACGAAAUUCGUCUCUCACCGUUACUCUACGAAGAGAGUAAAAUUGGUUGAUACUGCAAGAAUUAAUUCCGAGGAAAUUUUACUUUGUUACAGUUGACUGCUCAGUUCUCUUAACGGGUUUUUAGAGUACAAAAAGGUCCUCCUCCUCCUCCCUCCCCCCCCCCCCAUUGGUUACGCGGAAUUCAUGCAAACGGGACGUUAAAAGUAGUCGAACCACUCGGCAAGUAGCUUUGUAAACAUUCUAAUUUAUUCGUGGGCACGCUGGAACCGACUGGAACCAACAAUCGACACGAUGAAAUCAAAAAGAACGACUCGAACAUUUAGAUGACAAAAUAAAUCUACUUUAAUAGCUCAUUUAGAAUUCAAAUGUCUACACUCUGUUUCAGCUGGAAUUAAAUAAAUGAAUCGAGAAACAGCAGACAGAAGAGAGGAUCUCUGGAAAAGUUCAGUUAACGACGUGGUAAUUAUCUACACUGAUUCCAAGAGUUUCCAUUAGUCAUUUGGUUCGAGUAAAAUUCUGCCCGUUUCUGGAAUGUUCCAACGCCUCGAGUCUCAGAAUUUUUUCAACUUUCGCUGAUCGAGGAAGUCAAGGAAGAUAAUCGUCUCUCUUCAGGGUGAACGGGAGCAGUUGACGGGAAUCGUUGACGAGCUCAAGGUCUACGAGAAACUACGUGGCCGCAUUGGAGGUAUAAAAGUUGCCCCAUAAAAUGCGUUUUCAAGAUGGUACCACUCGUGAGUGGUAAUUUAUGAAGAAAAUCCAGAGGAAACCUUGACCAACAGUACUGUAGUGUAUACAGUAGUAUUGAGAAUAAACGUAUUAGUAGAAGAAGUAGGAACGAUGUCGAAGAGUACUCUAUGGAUACCACACGUGGUCACUCGCGAAUCGCUGUACCUCAGUUGAUCCACCGGAGCUAAACUCAGAAACUGCGCAGUUCGCUGGUAAAGUUAGGAUAAAUUCAAGCAGAAUAUAUGGGUAGGGUUACCUUGCCACGGCGGAACGUGUGAUAUAUUAACGCAGCAUUUCGCCUAUGUCAAGGACGACCCACCCAACGCACGAGUAUCUCCCUGGAGAUCAUUACCAUAGGAUAUUUACGCUACUAAUUAUGAAAACGGUCCGAGCAAAGGAUGGGUUUUGGAGAAAUUAAAUUUAUCGCCCCUGUUUAACGUCGAUCCACAUUGCGAUGUCACACGAUACGUAUUAGGGGACACGCUUAACCAGCGAUAUUGCUAUGCGAGUGAGUGCUCCUUAAACGUCGAAGGAAACAUAAGUAUGUAUCGAGAAUGAUUCAAGAACGUCCGUCAGCGUGGAAUAAUUUGACCAAGGUUGCCUCAGGUCCA